RNAcentral lists this ribosomal RNA (253 nucleotides) under uncultured bacterium. RNAcentral's name for it is "partial 16S ribosomal RNA". It matches the Rfam family "Bacterial small subunit ribosomal RNA", at positions 524 to 776 of the family's 1533-position model. The record is from RNAcentral.
UACGGGGGGGGCAAGCGUUGUUCGGAAUUACUGGGCGUAAAGGGCUCGUAGGCGGCCAACUAAGUCAGACGUGAAAUCCCUCGGCUUAACCGGGGAACUGCGUCUGAUACUGGAUGGCUUGAAUCCGGGAGAGGGAUGCGGAAUUCCAGGUGUAGCGGUGAAAUGCGUAGAUAUCUGGAGGAACACCGGUGGCGAAGGCGGCCUUCUGGACAGUGACUGACGCUGAGACGCGAAAGCGUGGGGAGCAAACAGG